Molecule: long non-coding RNA, 1689 nt
Organism: Episyrphus balteatus (marmalade hoverfly)
Lineage: Eukaryota; Metazoa; Arthropoda; Insecta; Diptera; Syrphidae
Exons: 4
Source: RefSeq, a predicted model, not a curated record
UUCAGCAUUAAAAAGAAAUCAUAUUCCGCCAUUAUUCGAUUUUCGAUGUCAGCCAUAUACCUGCCUGCCUCCAGCCUGCACAUUGGCAUAUGGCAUUCAUUUUCAAAAUAUUCGUCAACGCACCUGGAUCAACAAAAAUUGAAAACACCCGGCAUUUAAAAUAAAAUGUAAAAAAAUAAAUCAAUUAAAUUAGACACAGUUCAAAGAUUUACAUUUAAUUUAUUUAAACAUGUGAAAUAUUUCAUUGCAAAUAAAUAAAUAUUAAAAUAAUAAAUGAAAAAAAGUCCAUUUGAUUCACAAAAUAAAAAAAAAAUAAAAAGCAAAAAUGGAUUCUAAUUUAAAUAUAAAAUCCAAAGACUUGACGAUUAAGACAAAAAAUAAAAGAAAUCUAUUCAGAUUCAAGAAGAAAAAAAAAAAAUGGCGACCAAUAUCAUCAAGCAUAAAAUGUGUUAUUAGACGUAAAACAUUAAACACAAAAUUUAAUAUGCUCAUUCAUAUUUAAAAAAAAAAAAAAAACCAAACAUAGACGAGUAUAAAAUUAUAUAUUUUCUUGAGUUCGAAAUGUUCCGUUCCUUUCUAUGAAAAAAAUUGAUAAGAUGAUCGAUGAUUGUGAAUGGAACCAAAAAAGGAAAAGGAAAUAAAGUUACAAUCAUAAUUAUGACAUCCAAGUCAAACGAUUGAGUCAAGUCUAAAGUUUUGAUAAACACUCCUGUCAUAGUGUUGCGAUAAAAAGACUACAACAUUCGCCUCACAGUGCACCCGUAGAAAAAAUUUCCAAUGUGGUUUCUAAGCGAAUCAUAAUAAGAUUGAACAAAUUUUUCAAAGGAUUCGCAUAUCAUAAAAGAGGCCUACAAAAGGAAUAUGAAGGCCUGGUACGAUGACUAAAAACAACCUAACUGACUACUACACAUGUUCAAAAUCUCAUCAAUGUAUAGUUCCUGUGGAUCGUGAGUAAUAGAUUUAAGUUAAGAUAAAAUAAGAAAACAAAAAACAUAAAUUAUUUUUAAGUUAUAGUUUAGGAAGCAAUUUAUUUAUUCUAAUAAUAAUUUUAUUAUGUAAAUGAUUUCAAAUUGGUAAACUUUCUCGUCUGCAAAACCAUAACUUUACAUCUCAGAUGUUAGAUAGAAAUGAAUAGAAUUGUACUACAUUAUUUUUUAUUGAUUUACAAAAACUUAAGCAACAAACAGAUAUAACAUGGAAGAGCUUUUGCUUAUUUUCAAAAAUGAAAAAAAAAAAAUUUUAUCUUACAUACAAAUAUGAAAAACAUGGACAAACUCGAGUUAGAAAAAUAUCAUUGACAUCAAAAUAAUAUCGUCUGAAUGAAUCCAACGUAUACAUCGUCACACAAAAUACUCAUUAAUGUUUGAGAUAUUAACACUUGAGGAAUUUGUAAAAUAUUUUUUUUCUGCAGUUUAGUAAUUCCGUUAGGUUUUUUAUUUUCUAUUUAAAAUGUUUUAUUUCAGUGUGUCCAGAAUAGAUAACAUUCGGGUGUAAUUAUCCCAUGAACAGUUUAAGUCUUCAAACAUUUUUUUAAAAAUAGAAUUCUCUUGCAUUCGUUUCUUUAAGUAAUUCAAUAAUUUUUUAAAUUAGGUUUUACGAACUACUCAUAUGUGAGAGCUCCGUAUUAAAAUUGCUUGGACGAAUUAUUCCUUGUCUAGGUAACUCUUCUUGAAGCAAAAAUUGGUUUCA